Molecule: ribosomal RNA, 489 nt
Filed under: uncultured bacterium
Lineage: Bacteria
Description: partial 16S ribosomal RNA
Rfam family: Bacterial small subunit ribosomal RNA
Source: RNAcentral
AUUGAACGCUGGCGGCAGGCCUAACACAUGCAAGUCGAACGGUAACAGGAAGAAGCUUGCUUCUUUGCUGACGAGUGGCGGACGGGUGAGUCAUGUCUGGGAAACUGCCUGAUGGAGGGGGAUAACUACUGGAAACGGUAGCUAAUACCGCAUAACGUCGCAAGCCCAAAAAGGGGGACCUUCGGGCCUCUUGCCAUCGGAUGUGCCCAGAUGGGAUUAGCUAGUAGGUGGGGUAACGGCUCACCUAGGCGACGAUCCCUAGCUGGUCUGAGAGGAUGACCAGCCACACAGGAACUGAGACACGGUCCAGAGUCCGAGGGGAGGCAGCAGUGGGGAAGAUUGCACAAUGGGCGCAAGCCUGAUGCAGCCAUGCCGCGUGUAUGAAGAAGGCCUUCGGGUUGUAAAGUACUUUCAGCGGGGAGGAAGGGAGUAAAGUUAAUACCUGUGCUCAUUGACGUUACGCGCAGAAGAAGCACCGGCUAACUCCGU